Molecule: ribosomal RNA, 253 nt
Filed under: uncultured bacterium
Lineage: Bacteria
Description: partial 16S ribosomal RNA
Rfam family: Bacterial small subunit ribosomal RNA
Source: RNAcentral
UACGUAUGGAGCAAGCGUUAUCCGGAUUUACUGGGUGUAAAGGGAGCGUAGGCGGCCUGGCAAGCCUGAUGUGAAAUACCGGGGCCCAACCCCGGGGCUGCAUUGGGAACUGCCAGGCUGGAGUGCCGGAGAGGCAGGCGGAAUUCCUAGUGUAGCGGUGAAAUGCGUAGAUAUUAGGAGGAACACCAGUGGCGAAGGCGGCUUACUGGACGGCAACUGACGCUGAGGCUCGAAAGCGUGGGGAGCAAACAGG